AACAGAGUAAAAUACCAUAAAACUCUUUACCCAGACUACAAACCAUUCAUGUCCACUUAUCCCAUAAAAAAUACACUAAUGGGUAUUCAGCGGGUAGACCAGGUGUACACACCUAACCGACAACUUAUUGAUGGCCCCAGGUUCAGAGUCUUAUUCAAUAUGCUAGACAGCAAACUAUUUGACUCACAAACCAAUUCCAUAGUCUUUUAUGGCAUCUUACGCCCCUGCGAAUUUACCAUAGGUUUCUCAGUGGAGGCACCCCAAUGUUUGAAAUUCAGAGAUCUCAUUAGAACAGGAGAUCAUUACAAGAUUAUCAAACACAGCAAAACUAACCAAUCAGGUUGGCAGUAAAAAUUGGAUUUUAUCCCACAGGAAACCAAUGGUGUAUCAGCCCUAAACGGAUAUAGUCGGACUUUCACAGCUUAUUCAUGCAAUCCAUUCGUCCUAUACCGGUUCAGGGAUAUGCCGUUCGGGAUGAAGGACGCCCCAGCCACCAUCCAAUGGAUGGUAGAUCGCCUCCUAGAUCAGUGAUGGCUAAACACAGGUGGCACGCCGAGCCCCCUCUGUGGUCACGCGGCCACAGGUCGCCGGAGGGAGGGUGCGCUCCACCAGCACAUCCAUAAGGCGUCUCAAGUGGCCGCCUUAGGGUGCACUGGCCCGGCGGGCGCAAAACCGGAGUGACCGGCAGGUGGUGAGCGCAUAGCGCUCCCUCCUGCCAGGCACUCUGUCUAGCAUGGCCGAGCGCGCCGCAGUACAGGAACUUAUGUUUCCUGUACCCGGGCGGACAGAAAUGAAGUGCUCACAGAGAGAGCACUUCCUGUCCUGCCGGGUACAGGAAACUGAGCUCCGUGGUGCGCUCGGCCACGCUACAAGGUAGGAGAUCAAGGACAAGUGGGGGGGGUGAAUGAAAACUAAGGGAGGGAUGGGGGGGUAGAAAGAAAAUUGAAGGGGGAAUAAAACUGAGGGAGAU
This is a non-coding RNA of Pelobates cultripes (western spadefoot toad), 970 nucleotides long. The record is from the annotation of a GenBank genome assembly. Lineage: Eukaryota; Metazoa; Chordata; Amphibia; Anura; Pelobatidae.